GACGAACGCUGGCGGCGUGCCUAAUACAUGCAAGUCGAGCGCUGAAGGCUGGUUCUCGUACUAACUGGGUGAGCAGCGAACGGGUGAGUAACGCGUGGGGAACCUGCCUUUGAGCGGGGGAUAACAUUUAGAAACGAAUGCUAAUACCGCAUAAAACCUUUACACACAAGGUUUAAGUUUGAAAGAUGCAAUUGCAUUACUCUAACAUGAUCCCGCGUUGUAUUGGCUAGUUGGUGGGGUAAAGGCUCUCCAAGGCGAUGAUACAUAGCCGAACGGAGAGGGUGGUCGGCCGCAUUGGGAGUUGGACAGGGCCCAAACUCCUACGGGAGGGAGCAGUAGGGUAUCGGCGGCAAUGGAGGGAAAUCUUGCCGAACGAGUGCGCGUGAGUGGAAGAGGGUUUCGGAUCGGAAAAAUCUGUUGGUGGAGGAAAACCGUGGUGGGAGUUGAAGGCGCAUCAAGUGACGGUAGCUAGCCAGAAAGCAACGGCUAACUACGUG
RNAcentral lists this ribosomal RNA (497 nucleotides) under uncultured bacterium. Its description in RNAcentral is "partial 16S ribosomal RNA". It matches the Rfam family "Bacterial small subunit ribosomal RNA", at positions 28 to 507 of the family's 1533-position model. The record is from RNAcentral.